AUGGCCGGCGCGGGCGUGACGACGACGGGGUCGCCGUGCGGGGCGUGCAAGUUCCUGCGGCGCAGGUGCGCGGCGGAGUGCGUGUUCGCGCCCUACUUCUGCGCCGAGGACGGCGCGUCGCAGUUCGCGGCCAUCCACAAGGUGUUCGGCGCCAGCAACGCGGCCAAGCUGCUGAAGCAGGUGGCCCCGGGGGACCGGAGCGAGGCGGCCGCCACGGUGACCUACGAGGCGCAGGCCCGGCUGCGCGACCCCGUCUACGGCUGCGUCGCCCACAUCUUCGCGCUGCAGCAGCAGGUGGCGGCGCUGCAGGCGCAGGUGGCGCACGCCCGGACGCAGGCGCACCUGGGGCCGGCGGCGACGGCGAUGCACCCGCUGCUCCAGCAACAGCUGCAGCAGCAGGCGUGGCAGGUGGCGGAGCAGCACGACCACCAGUCCAUGACGUCCACGCAGAGCAGCUCCGGCUGCUACAGCGGCGCCCACCAGCGCUCCGACGGCUCCUCGCUGCACGGCGCCGAGAUGUACUGCGGCUACGGCGAGCAGGAGGAAGGCAGCUACUAA
This 558-nucleotide ribosomal RNA is filed under the name Triticum aestivum (bread wheat). RNAcentral's name for it is "partial small subunit ribosomal RNA". Lineage: Eukaryota; Viridiplantae; Streptophyta; Magnoliopsida; Poales; Poaceae. The record is from RNAcentral.